CAAAUAAGUUCCCUACAUAUUCUAGGGUUAUUUUGAACCAAAAACUUUGCUUCUCAGGUGGAUCAAUAUGAAAACAAAGCCCAUGAGCUUUUAAAUAAUAAUGUUAAUUGGCACCAAAAAGAACAUAGAUAAAAUAAAAACAUAAUCAGUAUCAUACCUGGGCUACUAAGCUGUAAUUAAACAUUAGAUUUGAACUCAUCUUCUUUCUGCCUCAUCAACCACAUGUAUUAGAAAUGAAAUGCAGAAAAGUGAUGCAAGGAGAACCCCCAUAUGGACAGUUCACCUCCAAAGGGAUAAUUUAUUUAAAAAAAUAAGUUAUAAAAUAUAUCAGAAUGAACUCAAUGCCAGAUCUGGUGGUUUCAACAGUUAGAUUAAUCUCUAACUUUCUCCAAAAUGUUUUAUAAACAUAAAAUAGUAGAGUCAUGACAUCUUGUAUUCAGAUAUGUUCUGGGGUGGGGUGUCAGGGAAAGCAUCCGAAUUCUAGUUUUAUGAGAAGAAUCAUUUUGGAUGCAUGCAGUGAACUUGAACAACGUAAAAUGACUGUGAAGAAUAAUGUCUAUUUUACAGUGAUAUGCAUAGAGAUACUGCAGCUGUUUUAUCAGCUUAGUUUUCUGGGAAACAAAAAGUUUCAAAGAUUUUGACCAAACACUGUCAUUGGUGAAAUUCAUUUUAUUUUAUUAUAUUUUAUUUUAUUUUUUCAGAGACAGGCUGAAGUGGUGCAGUCAUAGCUUACUGUAGUCUUGACCUACUGGGCUCAAGCAAUCCUCCUGCCUCAGCCUCCUGAGUAACUAGGACUACAGGGCAGCCUUGAACAUACCAGGAAGCAAUAGGAAAAAACUGGAGAAAGUGAAAAGGCUGCGAUGAAGGAAAAGAGGAGACAAACAAGGGUGACAUUGGCUGGGCAGCAAAGAUGACCAAAAGGCCAAGAAGCCUGUGCUGUUCCAGUAUUGAUCCGGUGCUCCUCCGUCACCAUCCGACCACAGAACCUCAGGCUGAUAGUUGUUCACUAACUCAUAGAGCUCUGGCAAUGUCUUAGAAACUGGAAAUUGCCGCUUAUGGAAUGAACUGGAUUCAUCCUCAAGGAAGAGCGGAUGAAACCAUUCAAAAAGGGAAUAGUACAGUCCAAAACGCAGGUUCUGGCUCUGUCACCCAGGCUGGAGUUCAGUGGUGCGAACUUCGCUCACUGCAUCCUCGACCUCCUGGGCUCAAGUGAUGCUCCCACCUCAGCCUACCAAGUAGCUAGGACUACAGGUGUGUACUCCACCACGCCCAGCUAAUUUUGUCUAUUUUUUCAGAGACAGGGUCUCACUUUGCUGCCUAGGCCAGUCUCAAACUCCUGGCCUCAAGCAAUCCUCCUUCCUUGGCCUCCCAAAGUGUUGGAAUUAUAGAUGUGAGCCACUGCACCUAGCCUUAGAUUCAUUUUAAUAAGCUUUUUAAAACAGCUCACUCUUGUUCCUAUCAUUUCUGUGGUAAGCUUCAGAGCAGUGUUGAUAUCUAAAGUCAUACUCAAAGUUACUCAACUUGACAGGCCCUAAUGUCAGACAGUACUAAAACCACUUGAGUCUUCAUUUGAAUAUCACCACCAUAAGCUUACACUGCGACGUUCCUUCCUGAGCUUAGUAUGCAUUUUCCAUGAGCAAUGAAAACAUCUGACAACAUGGGUCCCAGAAAAUGUAUACAUGUGGGCUACAUCAUCUCUCCUCACAGUUUGAUUAACAAUUUUUAUUAAAUAAACUCACUAUGUAAUGUUUUGUGCCAUACAGCUUGGGAAAGUUCCUAGACAUCAGGAAAUCAGCAUGUUCUCAAGCAAAUACACUUGAUAGACAUUCAUCUCAGCAGGAUAAAUAUCUACAGGAGAAAAUCAUGAAGCUACCAGAAUGUGGCCAAAGGGAAAAAUAUCCUAUGAUCAUUCCAGAUUUUUUGUGUUGGUUCUCCUCUCCUAUUCCCAUCCCAUCCCUGGAGAAAACAAUAAGGCAAAGUUUCCCGUUUUUUUUUUUUUUUUUUUUUGAGACAGGAUCUCCCUCCGCCACCUAGACUGGAGUGUAGUAAGCCUAUCUCCGCUCACUGCAGCCUCAAGCAGUCCUCCAACCUAAGCCUCCCAAGUAGCUGGGACUACAGAGACAUACCACUACGCUAAUUUUUUAGUUUUUGUUUGUUUGUUUGUUUUUGUAGAGACAGGGUCUCACUAUGUUGCCCAGGCUGGUCUUGAACCCCUGGGCUCAAAUGAUCCUCCUUCCUCGGCCUCCCAAAAUUUUGGGAUUACAGACAUGAGCGACCACAUCCAGUGCAAAUUUUUUUAUACCAAGGCAAAGAUGAUCAUGCAAAAGAAACUAAUGAAUGAACAAGCCGUUGGAACAAAAACAAUUUGUUAAUGCUUCCCUGGCCUUACAAAUACUGGAGUGGUAAUGGGUGGAAUCCAUUCUAUUAAAAUAGAAUGGAUUUUAAAUGUGUGGGGGUUUAGAUAUUCUUCUACCACCUCUGAUUUUUCUGGAAACCAUUACAGUUCCACAAUCCUUUUCCCUCCAGGUGAUCUGGGUCACUUUCAUCACUUUCAUCACUAUCAGUUCAUCCACUAUUUGCACCAUUUGGCCAGCUAAGAGUUGGCUAAAAGUGCAGCCAGGUGUGUCGUAAUGAUGCAAGACUAUAGCAGUAUAAUCCCCAUGAUGCAUUCACAGGAUGCAUUACAGAGAAGGGGAAGGAAAGAGUGCAAUUCCAAGAUGAACUUUGACUUGCAACCCACACUCCCUUCAACAAACAGCUUUAAGUAAAUCUUGGAAAUAUUGUUCAAAAUACAUGUGACAAAACGUGACCAUCUUUCCUCUGUUACGUGGCGGGUAUGAUCCUUUCUGUAUUCCUAACAUCUCUCAAUUUGGGUUGAAUGUGCAGUCCCUAAGUCAUAAGCAAGUGCCAGUCACCACUUAUGGUUGCUCCGAAGAGAAAAUUAGACCUUGCUUUAGUUUUUUCUUCCAAAAGAACAACUUUUCAUUUCUUAACCAUUGUCAGCAAUUUCCAUAGGCUGGAUUGACUUACCUUCAUGAUGUUUGGAAGUUAAGACAAUGUAUUUGGCACCAGAGGCCUGAAAAAUAUCUGCCCACUGGUUGGCAUUAAAAAAUUUUGCUGU
Molecule: long non-coding RNA, 3121 nt
Filed under: Homo sapiens (human)
Lineage: Eukaryota; Metazoa; Chordata; Mammalia; Primates; Hominidae
Description: PREDICTED lncRNA (TCONS_00227728)
Source: RNAcentral